Molecule: non-coding RNA, 72 nt
Organism: Phrynosoma platyrhinos (Desert horned lizard)
Lineage: Eukaryota; Metazoa; Chordata; Lepidosauria; Squamata; Phrynosomatidae
Source: the annotation of a GenBank genome assembly
GCCAGUGUGGUAUAGUGGUUUGGACAUUGCACUAGGACUUUGGAGACCAGGGUUCAAAUCCCCACUCAGCCA